This 250-nucleotide ribosomal RNA is filed under the name uncultured bacterium. RNAcentral describes it as "partial 16S ribosomal RNA". It matches the Rfam family "Bacterial small subunit ribosomal RNA", at positions 524 to 773 of the family's 1533-position model. The record is from RNAcentral.
GACGGAGGGUGCGAGCGUUAUUCGGAAUCAUUGGGCGUAAAGAGAGUGUAGGCGGCCGGCCAAGUCAGAUGUGAAAGCCCAGGGCUUAACCCUGGAAGUGCAUUUGAAACUGGUUGGCUUGAGUUCGGGAGAGGAAAGCGGAAUUCCGGGUGUAGAGGUGAAAUUCGUAGAUAUCCGGAGGAACACCGGUGGCGAAGGCGGCUUUCUGGACCGAAACUGACGCUGAGACUCGAAAGCGUGGGGAGCAAAC